RNAcentral lists this RNase P RNA (551 nucleotides) under Laetiporus sulphureus 93-53. RNAcentral describes it as "Nuclear RNase P". It matches the Rfam family "Nuclear RNase P". Rfam says of the family: Ribonuclease P (RNase P) is a ubiquitous endoribonuclease, found in archaea, bacteria and eukarya as well as chloroplasts and mitochondria. Its best characterised activity is the generation of mature 5'-ends of tRNAs by cleaving the 5'-leader elements of precursor-tRNAs. Lineage: Eukaryota; Fungi; Basidiomycota; Agaricomycetes; Polyporales; Laetiporaceae. The record is from Rfam by way of RNAcentral.
ACAGCAGGAAAGCCGCGAUGCUCACACCGUACAAGAGGCUUUCGAGCCUCUAUCUCCGUGAGCGGGCUAAGGUCUGAGUAUUCCAGUCCCCGGGAACGACUCUUACAGAGUCCAAUCUCAAUGGAUCGUGCGACAUACCAGAAACUCCAGUCUGUGUCUCAUAGGUCCCGAAGAGCUCGACGCGGCUCAAGGACGUGCGCUAGGGCUUGAGACGACCGACUUGAAAGGUGUCGUGGGACUGGGCGAACGCAGUAAUGUGUCAGUCACCGCACGCCCUCUUUCGUCACCUUUGUGCUUGGGUAAUCCCGAGCGCAUGGGAUGUUUCACGAACUUACGCGUCGGUGUUGACCGACGAGUAAUGUGAGUAAUAUCCCCUGCUUUGCUCUGACUCGCGUUUGGGUAUUGCAGAAAGAGGCUACGAGGAGGGCUGAUGUGUUGGGGUCUUGAUGCGCCGCGUUCGUCCUUCAGUGCACUUCGCGGCUCGCAUGAUGGGGUGACUGUCGGAGAUGCCCUGUUCAUGCGAAACUCGAUUCAGACUACUCUCGUGCUGU